GUUGAGCAAUCAUUUGUGGCCAUGUCGUUUCUGAAAAAGAGCUAUAUAGCUCAGUGGGCCUUACCUUGUUAAAUACAAUUUUUUGAAAUCGUUUUUGUUUAGUGUAUGUAUGUUGAACCGUUCACACCAUGUCUUGCCGAUGGGGUUUUGUUUCUUGUGUUAAGCGACGCAGAGAUGGUCACGUUUACAGGAUAUGGUAUUUAUUCGUGACAAUACAUUGGUAACAUUGUGACCAAUUAGAGACCCUCACGGGUGGCUUAAGGAGUUUCACGACUGAAUUUAACCGCAGCAUGCGACGGCGUUUUCUCUCAAGCUGCUUUGAGCUUCUCCAGGUAUGCAUGCGGAUAUCGAGUGGGUGUGGUGUGCACGUGUAUACUACUCCUAGGUGGACAGAGGCGGAGGGAUUUAAGAAACGUCGACAAGACUGGUGACAAAGGAUGGAACGUGUUCAAGAAGAUGACCACCACAGAAAUGAGGUGAUGAAACUAGCCCAUGUGCAGUGGUGAGAUGGGUCAUGGCAGCACAGGAGGGCAUAGUGGACUACAUGGGGGAAGCCUUCAUACAGUAGUGGAUAGAUCACGGCUGUUGAUGUUGACGAAAAAUUAGGUAUUGUGUGCGCAGAAGAGCGGUAGAAGGACAUGAAAAAGAACCGAUCAAAUCUCUCCUCCCUCCAUGAUCACGUGAAAUGCGCAUUAUGCUCCACGUAGUCACGUUUAGGUGCUUUAUAAACAUUUAGCUGCUUUAUAAACAUACAUUGAUUGUUGUAUUGCUGUUUAAGCAAUUACGCACCAUGCCCCUGGCUAAAUUUCUAACUCAAUAUGUUGUGGAACGCUCCUGGGCUGGCUGGGAGUAGACAUUGUCAGCAUAAGGCACUCCCACUAGAGUACAAGGUAAGCCUUAUCCAUACUAUACUUACAUUAUUUUGUACCCUAUACUCCUACAAUGCUAUAAAAAAAUGUUUAUCAAUGUUACAUGCUAAAUAAAGCGAGAGAGAGAGAGAGAGAUGUGGCAUGCUAAAAUAUUUUCCUGCAAUGGCCUUCUGGACUAUUCCGGCUGAAACUAAGCAACGAAGCAACCUCAUCUACCAAAUCAAACCCAAAGGCCCGCAAGCGAGCUGUCGUCUCCAAAACAUUGCCCUCAGCUGUCUCCACCAUUGUCAUCCCCCUGAUGCGCACGAAAACAAUGUCCCGGUGGUCAACCUAACCCCGGGCGCACACACAACGCAACAAUGCUGACGUUCGAUGUCGCAGAGCGAAUCCAUUUAGAACCGAGUUUGUUUGUUUUGCAAGGUGCGAGGCGUCUUUACACUCGGCGAGCAAAAUAUUUAUUGAUGCCAUCCGGUACCGAUUGUACCUGUUGUAGUUUAUUUUUUUAUUUACCCACCCCCCACACACCGUUUGCCUGUGAGAGUCAACAGAGGUGGGUUGGGGGGGGGGUUGCCCGUGAGUGCGUUGCGGAGGCCGCGCGAGUGGAACGCAACGCUGGGAAGCAGGCACCAGUUUUAUGUCGGAGCAACGGAGAAUGUUGUUUUGAUUCUGACGUCGCGCGCGUGUGUGUAGUGUGCGGUGUGUGCGCGUGUCAGCGAGUGACGGAGGAGACUUAUUACAUAUUUUUUUGCACUUGCCAUUUUUGCGCUUUUAGUAUCAGGUCGGGUAACACAAAAAAACAAUUGACGCACACGAGCGUUUGAACGCAGGCCACACAGAGCUGAAGGCAGAGAUGGGAAUCGUUUUGUGCGCGCAGCAUUUCGAUAAGGGCUCGUAUCGCGAUCGUCGAUCGGCCAUGGUCAAUCCACUGCUGGAUAAAGGGUCACCAUCUCUCCGCUCUGUGAUGUAAUAAUCCGCCUGCACACGUGGUUAGAUCAUCAGUGCCCAUCUCACUGGUGGAUGUCCUUUGAAUUCGGUUCCAUUACCUGGCCGUGUCCGUCACUAUUCAUGGCCAUUGGGCAACGUUUCUUAGAUCAAUAUUGACCUGUUUAUAUAUAUAUCGUUUAAAUAACACAGUCUGAAAUAUACACGCAUGUGUGUUUUUAGAAAGCAGCGUGCCAAUGGGCAUGUGGGUAAAUGCAUGCAGUACACACUGCAGCAACAGUAGCAUGGAUUUUGUUUUUUAUUAAUUAACACAAAAUUUUAAUACCGAAAUCAUACGUACAUACAUACAAGCAGAGAUACAGAAAACGCGUAACGAAUUCGCAAACUCAACGGUGACGUUUAAGUAUCGGGAGUUUUUUGUAGAUAAAUAUAUAUUGUAUAUAGCCAUCAAGAAAAUAAAAACGGUGCGAUCGAUCGGAUUAUAAUUAUUCGACGACAGUGGCUCGAAUGGCCGAUCAAACAAUGAUGGCCACAGCACUUUGCUGCCCAAUGUUUUGCUGCUGCUGCUGCUGUGGUAACAUCAUCAUCAGCAGCAGCCGUUUAUGGCUUUGGACAAGUGGAGGAAGAAAACAAUUUGAGAUGUGAGACGCGUAUUGCUGGAUGUUCUUUUUUUUAAACACUCUUGCGGUAAAAGUGCGGCGCGGCCCUCGCGUGACUUGCGUCAUGCGAUGGAGCCAGCGAUAAGAAAGAAGACACAAAUAGGUGAGACAUUUCGCCAGAGUAUUUAAAUGCAAAGGCCACCAACGCUCCCCGAAGAGCAUCAGCUUUGGGUGAUACCGCUUUUUUUUCCAGCCCGCCAAGUCAAGAUUUCCGAUUGAGUAAGAGGAAGAUGUCUCUGCGGGGCGCGUGCGUGUGUCUCUGUGCCCUGGGGGCUCUGCUCGUGGCCCUGGGAGUCGACGAGGCCAAGGGAGGAGUCACCACAUUUUUCCCCCCGCCAGGCUCUCGCGACGACGGCGGCACGCGACAAUCUCAGAAGAAAUCCCUCUAUUAUGGAGGGGACAUCCAGUCCAUGGAAGAGCCCGUUUUCCUGCACAAAAAGGGGGCAGCAGUGGAUCGAGCACGGGCUCCAGCGGGAAGAAGCGAGGCGGAGAACGGCGAAAUCGAGGGAGGCGUUGCCGCCCUUCUCCAGAAGAGGGCGCGCGAGGGUCAAAACGAGGGCGUUCACCGUGAGGCUUGCCAGCCGGGCGAGCCUUGAAACUUGAUUAAUGAUCCACGGACCAUCAGUGGACGCAGAAGCCAGCCUUAGUGAUGCGUUUUGUUUAUUUGCUUUCAUUUACAAUGCACGCAUAUACACGUUGCUAAGCCGGAGUGAUCUACUUUGCACACAUUCUAUAUAAUGCUUUGCCUUCAUUAUCAGUGCUCUGUGAAUACAUACAACAGGUUAGACUUCAGCGGGAUGGAUGGGUAGGUCCAGAGGUCAGGGUCUCGAGCCAUGGUGACUUUUAUUUAGACCACACGUCCAGGGUGCAGUGCCAAUGAGUCAACCCUGCCAGUGCAUGGGGCUAGACAGCCAACCCGCAACCACACGAGCCUAACAUUCGUGAUCGGGAUAAACCCAUUUGGGGACAAGUUCUGUUAAGCGAGAACCUAUUAAAUAAAAUCAUCCACGAGCACAUUUCGGUAUUUGCAACCAUCCGUACGGCACGGAAGGCUAUCUAUAUCUCGCGAUUGCGCGUAGUCAUGGCCUUCAGAACACAGCCUGCGCCUCAAGUGCGCUGCGGAAGUGAAUCGAUCGCUGGCGACAAAUCGCGGAAGGCCGGGAGCAACUCGAAGUUCGGUCGGAGGUGCUGGCCACACCGCCGCGUGUUCAUUUUUAGGCGACGUGAACCUAGGGAUGGAGGCCAGCGGGACCAGUUCGAUACAAAAACGCCACAACAAAAUGUAGAUCUAUGCAGCGUCCAAAUGCGAUCCCAUCUCGAGACGCAGUCGCGAAACUGGGUUUGUUUGGACAGAGGCAGUCGCAAUGGAAAAUAAAAAAAGGUCUCGAGUCUGGCCCCCUUGUAUAGGGGCCGGGGGUGCUACAGCACGGAUGGCAGGGGGAAGGCAGUAUAGGAGAAUCAGCGACCUCCCACAGAGAUAAGGUUGACCGGGGAGCUUCGGCAGGAAGUUUUUGUUGGUGAAGCAGCGAGUGCAUGGAGGGCAGUAGAGUGAGUCUGAGAAGUGAAGGAGGUGGGCAGGAAUGAGUCCACGGAGCAUGAUGGUUGUGAGUGGCAGCAUGCGUCCCUGCCAGGAAUCGUCCUGGGGUCACGAGAAUUGUAGUAAAGUGUACUGCUCACAUAUCUACCGCAGGCAUACAGUUAUUUUAAACACUCACAUGAACACAAAUCAGUUACCAGGACCUAUACACGCAGUAUUUAUCUACUAUAAUGGCAAGAAUGGUGACAGAAUGGCAGCGAAAGCAGAAAGCGCUCGAGAGGACAUGACCGCUGUAGAAAUGGGUGUCGCUGAGAUCAGCUGUUGUGCAGGAGCCAGAAGAAUUUCUGUCCGUGUACUAACCGACACAGACGAGAGAUAGAUUAAUAAAACUAACAUUGAGCAUGUUUUAACUAUUAAAUCAUAGUAAUUAAAGGUCUAAUGAUAUUUAUUUUACUAUCGACAGCAAUGCAUUCUGAGUUUUAUUCUAAGCCAGCUUGGAUGAAGGGAACACUCGAGUCGACCUUUAACACAACGUCCAACUUGGUGUUCAUUAGCCGAUAAAUGGCAAGAGCACAACAAAUGGAUAAAAAACAUCACACGCAAACACUGCUGAUUGUCUCCGCAAACUACACAAUGAAUAAAAACAGAUGGAAAAAACA
This is a non-coding RNA of Petromyzon marinus (sea lamprey), 4666 nucleotides long. Lineage: Eukaryota; Metazoa; Chordata; Hyperoartia; Petromyzontiformes; Petromyzontidae. The record is from RefSeq and is a predicted model, not a curated record.